GAUGAACGCUGGCGGCGUGCCUAAUACAUGCAAGUCGUACGGAAAGGCCCUUCGGGGUACUCGAGUGGCGGACGGCUGAGUAACGCGUGGGAACGUGCCCCAAAGUGAGGGAUAACGCACCGAAAGGUGUGCUAAUACCGCAUAUGGUCUUCGGAUUAAAGCUUGGGCGCUUUGGGAGCGGCCCGCGUACGAUUAGAUAGUUGGUGAGGUAAUGGCUCACCAAGUCGACGAUCGUUAGCUGGUCUGAGAGGAUGAUCAGCCAGACUGGGACUGAGACACGGCCCAGACUCCUACGGGAGGCAGCAGUAAGGAAUCUUCCACAAUGGGGGCAACCCUGAUGGAGCAACGCCGCAUGCAGGAUGAAGGUUUUCGGAUCGUAAACUGCUUUUAUAAGUGAAGAAUAUGACGGUAACUUAUGAAUAAGGAUCGGCUAACUACGUGCCAGCCGCCGCAGUAA
Molecule: ribosomal RNA, 457 nt
Filed under: uncultured bacterium
Lineage: Bacteria
Description: partial 16S ribosomal RNA
Rfam family: Bacterial small subunit ribosomal RNA
Source: RNAcentral